AGUGAACGCUGGCGGUAGGCCUAACACAUGCAAGUCGAACGGCAGCACAGUAGGUUGCUGCUGGUGGGGGUUGCGGGUGGCGGGCGGGAGACAUAUGCACAGGUCCUGACUUUUUGGUGGGCGCUGACGAAGCGGGACUAAUACUGCUAACGAACUACAGAUAAGGGUGAAAGCCGGUGAUGUUUGGCCCUUGCGCGUUUGCCGGUGCCGAAGUAGGAUUAGCUAGUUGGCGGGGUAAAGGCCGACCAAGGCGACGAUCAGUAGCUGGUCUGAGAGGAUGACCAGCCACACUGGAACUGAGACACGGCCCAGACUCCUACGGGAGGCAGCAGUGGGGAAUUUUGGACAAUGGGCGCAAGCCUGAUCCAGCCAUACCGCGUGUGUGAAGAAGGCCUUCGGGUUGUAAAGCCCUUUUGUUGGGAAAGAAAAGCUUGACGUUAAUACCCUGGUGGGCUGACGGUACCGAAAGAAUAAGCACCGGCUAACUUCGUG
RNAcentral lists this ribosomal RNA (492 nucleotides) under uncultured bacterium. RNAcentral's name for it is "partial 16S ribosomal RNA". It matches the Rfam family "Bacterial small subunit ribosomal RNA", at positions 29 to 507 of the family's 1533-position model. The record is from RNAcentral.